Molecule: ribosomal RNA, 457 nt
Filed under: Sordariomycetes sp. V17-550
Lineage: Eukaryota; Fungi; Ascomycota; Sordariomycetes
Description: partial 18S ribosomal RNA
Source: RNAcentral
UUGAUCAGUGAUCGAGUCAUCUAGGGGGGGUCCGGCGGGCAGCGCCCAGGGACCGCUAGCGAGUGUUCUACUACGCUGCGUCCGGGCGUGCCGCCACUGCUUUUCAGGGCCCGCGUGCCGCGGAUCCCCAUCACCGCGCGGGGCGCGAGGUUGAAAUGACGUCGAACAGGCUGCCCGCCGGAUGCGGCGGGCGAAUGUGCGUCAAAGUUCGUGAUCGUGAGUCUGAUUCCAUUACUAUCGAUUUCGUGCGUCUCUCGUGCCAGAACCAAGAGUCCUUGUGAAGUUUGACUCAUUAGGAUCCUCAAGUUCUGACGCUAUAUUUCAGGCCCCGACGGUCACGGCACCCCCGGAGGGAGGGCGGCACCCCCAGGCACUUCAGGCACGAUCGCAGGGGUUAAAAAAAAUCUCUGUUUGAAUGACCCUCCGCUGGUCCCAACGAACCUGUACACAAUACUCC